Molecule: ribosomal RNA, 544 nt
Filed under: uncultured organism
Description: bacterial SSU rRNA
Rfam family: Bacterial small subunit ribosomal RNA
Source: RNAcentral
GUCGAGGGGUAAGUGUCUCUUCGGAGAAUCACGACCGGCGCACGGGUGAGUAACGCGUAUGCAACCUACCUAUAACACAAUGAUAGCUCCCGGAAACGGGAAUUAAUACUUGAUGACAUUCAAAGAUGGCAUCAUCAAUGAAUCAAAGUUCCGGCGGUUAUAGAUGGGCAUGCGUGACAUUAGCUAGUUGGUGAGGUAGAGGCUCACCAAUGCGACGAUGUCUAGGGGGUCUGAGAGGAUGAUCCCCCACACUGGUACUGAGACACGGACCAGACUCCUACGGGAGGCAGCAGUGAGGAAUAUUGCGCAAUGGAGGAAACUCUGACGCAGCCAUCCCGCGUGCAGGAUUGACGGCCCUAUGGGUUGUAAACUGCUUUUCUAUACCAAGAAACACCGAUACGUGUAUCGGUUUGCCGGUAGUAUAGGAAUAAGCAUCGGCUAACUCCGUGCCAGCAGACGCGGUAAUGCGGAGGAUGCCAGCGUUAUCCGGAAUCACUGGGUUUACAGGGUGCGCACGCGGAAUAGUAAGUCAGAGGUGAAAGCC